GACGAACGGCCUGGGCGGCGAUGCCUAAUACAUGCAAGUCGAACGCGGCCAUCCGGUGCUUGCACUGGUGAAGCCGAGUGGCGAACGGGUGAGUAACACGUGAGAAACCUGCCCUGGAGUGGGGAAUAACUCGAAGAAAUUCGAGCUAAUACCGCAUACCUUCUCUUCACCGCAUGGUGAGUUGAAGAAAGAUUUAUCGCUCUAGGAGGGUCUCGCGGCCUAUCAGCUAGUUGGUGAGGUAAUGGCUCACCAAGGCAUCGACGGGUAGCUGGUCUGAGAGGACGAUCAGCCACACUGGGACUGAGACACGGCCCAGACUCCUACGGGAGGCAGCAGUAGGGAAUCUUGCGCAAUGGGCGAAAGCCUGACGCAGCAAUGCCGCGUGCGGGAUGAAGGCCCUACGGGUUGUAAACCGCUUUUCCCCGGGAAGAAUAAGCCCCCCCGCGGGGGGUGAUGCCGGUACCGGGGGAAUAAGGAUCGGCUAACUCCGUG
This 492-nucleotide ribosomal RNA is filed under the name uncultured bacterium. RNAcentral describes it as "bacterial SSU rRNA". It matches the Rfam family "Bacterial small subunit ribosomal RNA", at positions 38 to 507 of the family's 1533-position model. The record is from RNAcentral.